Molecule: non-coding RNA, 77 nt
Organism: Potamilus streckersoni
Lineage: Eukaryota; Metazoa; Mollusca; Bivalvia; Unionida; Unionidae
Source: the annotation of a GenBank genome assembly
GACCGCUUUGGUGGCUUAGUGGUUAGAACAACCGCCUCGGAUGCGGGAGGUCGUGGGUUCCAUCCCCGACUGAGUCA